AUGUGCUGGAGGAGCUGAUGUACA
This 24-nucleotide non-coding RNA is filed under the name Arabidopsis thaliana (thale cress). The record is from RNAcentral. Lineage: Eukaryota; Viridiplantae; Streptophyta; Magnoliopsida; Brassicales; Brassicaceae.